RNAcentral lists this long non-coding RNA (3166 nucleotides) under Sus scrofa (pig). RNAcentral describes it as "lncRNA (ENSSSCG00000054687.1)". Lineage: Eukaryota; Metazoa; Chordata; Mammalia; Artiodactyla; Suidae. The record is from RNAcentral.
AGUAAAUCCCAGCCAAAUAUUUUUCGUGUGCCAGCAGGGUUUCUCUUUCAUUUGUUUUCUCUGCCCCUGGAGAGUGAAACCAUCCCCGGGUUGACCAGUUAGCUCCCGCUGCAUCCGUUGCUAUGGAACGAAAGUCCUCGUUCAACACAGUCGCUAGGGAAGCCUGAGUCAGAACCGUCAAGCUUCUGGUUCCGAUGUUCCAACACUCAGUUCCUCAUUACCCAGCUGAUCCCUCGUUCUGUACGAGGCUUGACGCCUUGGGGCUCCGCUGCCAACUCUCUUGUUUUGUGUCUUGGUAGCCUUGGGGAUUUUAAACAUUGCACCCUUUUCUCUUGCUCCUUAAUCAAAGAAUUGAAGUUCUCCACGGUUCUCAUCCGUGCCUCUGGGCAGGAAAGAUUAUAUCAAAAGGUCGUGGCCAUUCAGAUGUUUUCCUGAUCUCCUAUGUGGAUUUUGUCUUUAACGCAUUGUAAAGAGCCCCUCUCCUCUAGCGCACAGUCUCAGCUGUGAUGCCGGGUUUUUGGAGGGUCUUCCAGGAGGGCUCCGUGGGGAUGGCUUAGGCAGAGCAGGUGUGUGGAGACGAAGGUCUGGGAUACGAGUUAGGAUUUACACCUGUCUUCUGCUUUAUCCCUAGAAUCUAGACAAUUAAAAAAAAAUCUCAUUCUUCUCCUUUUCAUCCUCCCUAGCCUUCACUUCCUUUUAGCUCUCUGUUGAUGCAGUGGCUAGAGUUGCUCUUGCCAAUUCUCGGUCUCCCCAGCCUUGUUUCCCCCCGCCCCGCCCUCCUGCACACACUCGCAUUGUUGAGAUGGGCAUCCAGAACGGGCACAGCACGAAGUCCCCGUCCAACCUGGUGCCAAGUGGCAUUGCCAGUUCUGACAUUCAUUUCUCCCCAUGACACUCCUAAUUUUUUCCAUUUUGUCAUGACCCUCCAGAUACGCUCGGUCCUUUCAUGGGAACAUGCUUUUCCCCCGUGGAAUUCUCUUUCCCCAGCUGGAAUUGGGGGCGGGGGGAGGGAACUCGUUUGUUGAGCUGCCGCUGGGUUCCAGCACUGUCGUCCAUGUCUGUGUGUGUGUUAUAAAAACUUCAUGUUUCUCAGUAGCCCCUAAAAUACUUAUUUGUGGCCCUGUCACCAAUAUAUGGGAAAAUAGGUCAUUUAAAUAACCUUGCCUGAAAUGGCAUCAUGAGUAAGAAUCAACUCUCCGCAGCCAAGCUGGGGUGUCUCUGUUUCAUGAAAUCUCUCGCAGUUUUCUCAUAGCUCAUUGUUCUCAUUACUUUAUGCAUGUAUAUUUAUUUUUGAGUCUUGAGAAGGUGCUUUACACCAGGCACUGUGCUAGGUCCAGGGGCAGGAAUAAGAAUAUAUUCUUGCCCUCAGGGAGCUUUCAUUCUCACAGGGAGAUGGAUAAUACACCAUUGAACCAAUGACUACAGAAUCAGUGGGGUAAUCUCUGCAGGAGGGAUAAAUACAUAGGGCAAUAGCAGGUGACGCUACCUGGGAGGACCCUGCCUCCAGUCCAGGGCAUCAGGAAAUAGCUCUGUAAUUCCUCACCUGUGACUUUGAGAAAGCGCUGAGGUCAGUGCUAGAGAACGAGCGCUCUGGACACAGGGAGACGUUCAGAUGUCCUGGGGCAGGAAACGGUUGGGUGUGUUUGGGGAGGGAGUUACUCGUGUGGAAGUGGUGAACGUGACGUGCAAAGAUAGGUUGGUCCCAGAUUGUGUCAAACGACGAGGUCCCUUGGUGUCUUACUCGGAAAGCAAUGUAAAACCUUUGAAGGAUUUUUCGCAUGGCUGCUUUUGAGGUUUAAUGAACGUGCAAUAAACUGGAUGCUUUGGUAAGUUUGGCCAUGACGUGUGCACCCAGAAACUGUCGUCAUGCUCAAGACAAUGGGCUCAUCCAUCAUCGCCCAAGGUUUUUAUGGCCUUUUGUCACCCCCCCCAACCCCGCAGAACCUUUCUUGUCUGCACCUCAGAGAGCCACCGAUUUCCCUUUUGUUACUAUAGAAAUUGCUUUGCAUUUUCUAGUAUUUAGUGUAAACAGUGUUGGUAUCUUGGAUGUGUGAGGCAUGUACGUGUGUGUGUGUGGUGUGUAGGUUUUCCAUAGACACCUUUUACCAGGUUAAGGACAUCUUCUUGACUGAGAGGUUUUAUGGGCGAUAGGUACUAUCUUUUGUCAAAUGUUUGUUCUCAGUCUUUUGAGAAGCUUAUCUCUCAUUUUUUUUUUAGUCCAAAAACAUGUUUUCGACUAUUAAUUGAUGGGAAUGUUAAGCCAAGAUUACAUUCCUGCAAUAAUCCCUACUUGACUAUGAUUUUUUUAUCCUUUUUAUGUAUUGUUGGAUUAAGUUGGCUGAGAUUGUGUUUAGAAAGUUUGCACCUCGAACAAAGAACAAAUGCUGGAGAGGGUGUGGAGACAAAGGUACCCUCCUACACUGUUGGUGGGAAUGUAAACUGGUACAACCACUGUGGAAAACAGCAUGGAGGUACCUCAGAAAACUAAAUAUACAACUACCUUAUGACCCAGCAAUCCCACUCUUGGGCAUCUAUCCCGACAAAACUUGCACCAAAAAAUAUACAUGCACUCCUAUGUUUGUCGCAGCACUAUUCACAAUAGCCAAGACAUGGAGACAGCUUAAAUGUCCAAUGACAGAUGAUUGGAUUUAGAAGAUGUGGUAUAUAUACACAGUGGAAUACUACUCAGCCCUAAAAAGAACAUUUGCAUGUUCAUGCCAUUUGUAGCAACAUGGAUGAAACUAGAGACUCUUCUACGAAGUGAAGUAAGUCAGAAAGAGAAAGACAAAUACUGUAAGAUAUCACUUGUAUCUGGAAUCUAAUAGAUGGCCCAGAUGAAUCUAUCUACAGAAAAGAAAGAAACUCAUGGACUUGGAGAACGGACUCGUGGCUGCCGAGGGGGAGGGAGUGCGAUGGACGGGGAGUCUGGGGUUGGUUGAUGCGAACUCUUGCAUUGGGAGUGGAUAAGCCAUGAGAUCCUGCUGUACAGCACAGGGAACUGUAUCUAGUCACUUGUGAUGGAACAGGAUGGAGGAUAAUGGGAGAAAAAGUAUGUAUGUAUAUGUGUGACUGGGUCAUUUUGUUGUGUAGCAGAACUUGACGAACAUUGACUAUAACAGAAAAAAUAAAAAUCUUAAAAAAAAAUAAAGUAUAUCCCCUACCAAGG